This is a non-coding RNA of Macaca mulatta (Rhesus monkey), 1064 nucleotides long. NCBI's taxonomy places the organism in Eukaryota, Metazoa, Chordata, Mammalia, Primates, Cercopithecidae. The record is from the annotation of a RefSeq genome assembly.
AUUCUGUGAUCAGUCAUCCCUCCUCGCUGGUGAAUGGAGACAGUGGUCACAACUCUCCCCGCAGAAGGUGGUGUGGGGCCAUCACCGAAGAUGCUGUUGCUUCUGCUGCUUCUGGGGACAGCAGGCUCCGGGCUUGCUGCUGUCGUCUCUCAAUAUCCAAGCAGGGUUAUCUGUAAGAGAGGAACCUCUGUGAAGAUCGAGUGCCGUUGCCUGGACUUUCAGGCCACAACUAUGUUUUGGUAUCGUCAGUUCCAGACACAGAGCCUCAUACUCAUGGCAACUUCCAAUGAGGGCUCCGGCGUCACAUACGAGCAAGGCGUCAAGCAGGACAAGUUUCCCAUCAACCAUCCAAACCUGACCUUCUCCACUCUGACAGUGACCAAUGCCCAUCCUGAAGACAGCAGCUUCUACAUCUGCAGUGCUAGAGACACAGCACCAGGAAGGGAUCAGAGACCGCGGCAAGAACCCCCUGCAGCUGCCCCUCUGCCCCAGGGGGGCCCCUGAGUGCUGAGAGGGGAGGCGUGGAGAUGGAAAACCACAGCUUUCCUGACUGAGACAUCUGGGUGUGUGUGUGACAUCUGGGUGUGUGUGUGUAGGGGGUGGGGCGGGGUGGGGGGAGAGAAAGAAAAGAAGCCCUGUGAGUGUGGAUAGUGGAGGAGCUGUAGUGUUUGAGACCCAUGAAAUGGCCAUAGAGUUGGGCCUAAAGUGGUCAGUGGACGUGGAAGCUUCCCUGAAAAUUAUAAAACCUGGAAUUUUGCCCUGACUCUGCCACAUUAGUCAUGUGCUCUUGAAUAGAUCUACACAGAAUCCUAGAGGUAGAUAUGAAGACAGUUGUAUAAUCACUGUGUAUUUCCUAUAAUAAACUUCAGCGAUUGGCUUUCUUGUCAUCAUGCUGGGCUCUCAAGACAAGGAUAACCAAGAGGCAGCCAAGUAGACAGUUAUGCAUGAGUACGUUACCUUAGGGGAGGACGGCAACAGCAUUGAAUAGCACCCACUUCAAAUUUGUGUUCAGUCCUCCUUGGACCAGGACCACCAAAAUAAAAUCCUAUCACAUUUCCUGUAAA